Molecule: transfer RNA, 73 nt
Filed under: Camoensia scandens
Lineage: Eukaryota; Viridiplantae; Streptophyta; Magnoliopsida; Fabales; Fabaceae
Also listed under: 2 other names
Description: tRNA-Glu
Rfam family: tRNA
About the family: Transfer RNA (tRNA) molecules are approximately 80 nucleotides in length. Their secondary structure includes four short double-helical elements and three loops (D, anti-codon, and T loops).
Source: RNAcentral
GCCCCCAUCGUCUAGUGGCUCAGGACAUCUCUCUUUCAAGGAGGCAGCGGGGAUUCGACUUCCCCUGGGGGUA